This 675-nucleotide small RNA is filed under the name Pongo abelii (Sumatran orangutan). RNAcentral's name for it is "retained intron". Lineage: Eukaryota; Metazoa; Chordata; Mammalia; Primates; Hominidae. The record is from RNAcentral.
GCGGCGGUCAGCCCCGCCUACUUCCUCUUUCUCUCGGAGCGGGCGGCGGCGGCAGUGGUAGCGUCGGCGUCGGCGGCCUGUGCAGCAAUGGCCAAGAUCAAGGCUCGAGAUCUUCGUGGGAAGAAGAAGGAGGAGCUGCUGAAACAGCUGGACGACCUGAAGGUGGAGCUGUCCCAGCUGCGCGUCGCCAAAGUGACAGGUGGUGCGGCCUCCAAGCUUUCUAAGAUGUAAGUGAGGCGGCCGGAUCACGCCCUCGUGGGUGGGGAGCACGUGUGCAUCGGGAUCGUCGGAGGAUUUCAAAGUUGGCUUAAGGAGCUGGCCGCUUAGAUGCCCACUCCGUGCAUCCUGGGGCGCAUGGGAGACCCGUUGUGUGCUUAGCCUCUUGCCUACCUUGACCUUGCGGUCCUUGUGCCUGGAGUGCAUCCCCGGAGACCCAUCUUAAUGCUGCCUUCAAAGCCUACCCGGACCCAUUCCUUCAGCUUCCCACCAACACUUGAGUUUUUAAUUCACCUUUCCCCCCUUGGCAGGUGGGUGGCUUGCACCCUGGAGUGGCAGCGUAAGUUAUUUUACAUGGCUAAGAGUGCGGGAGACUUGUGAAAGGAACAUGGGUUUGUAGUUCAUCAACCUGGGUACAAAGUCCACUUCUCAAAAAAAAUUAGAUGGGUGUAGUGAUGG